CUCUGUGCCUGUAGCUCAGUGGCAGAGAAUUUGCCUUGCACCCAGAGGAUCCUGGGUUCAAUUCUCAAUGGCUGGGAGA
Non-coding RNA from Podarcis lilfordi (Lilford's wall lizard), 79 nucleotides. The record is from the annotation of a GenBank genome assembly. Lineage: Eukaryota; Metazoa; Chordata; Lepidosauria; Squamata; Lacertidae.